CCUACGGGAGGCAGCAGUGGGGGAUAUUGCACAAUGGGGGAAACCCUGAUGCAGCGACGCCGCGUGGGUGAAGAAGCGCCUCGGCGCGUAAAGCCCUGUCAGCAGGGAAGAAAAUGACGGUACCUGAAGAAGAAGCCCCGGCUAACUACGUGCCAGCAGCCGCGGUAAUACGUAGGGGGCAAGCGUGAUCCGGAUUUACUGGGUGUAAAGGGGGCGCAGACGGCGAUGCAAGCCAGGAGUGAAAGCCCGGGGCCCAACCCCGGGACUGCUCUUGGAACUGCGUGGCUAGAGUGCAGGAGGGGCAGGCGGAAUUCCUGGGGUAGCGGUGAAAUGCGUAGAUAUCAGGAGGAACACCGGUGGCGAAGGCGGCCUGCUGGACUGCAACUGACGUUGAGGCCCGAAAGCGUGGGGAGCAAACAGGAUUAGAGACCCCAGUAGUC
RNAcentral lists this ribosomal RNA (440 nucleotides) under uncultured bacterium. RNAcentral's name for it is "partial 16S ribosomal RNA". It matches the Rfam family "Bacterial small subunit ribosomal RNA", at positions 338 to 795 of the family's 1533-position model. The record is from RNAcentral.